This 301-nucleotide ribosomal RNA is filed under the name uncultured bacterium. RNAcentral describes it as "partial 16S ribosomal RNA". It matches the Rfam family "Bacterial small subunit ribosomal RNA", at positions 509 to 807 of the family's 1533-position model. The record is from RNAcentral.
CAGUCGCCGCGGUAUACGUAGGUGGCAAGCGUUGUCCGGAAUUAUUGGGCGUAAAGGGCUCGCAGGCGGUUUCUUAAGACUGAUGUGAAAGCCCCCGGCUCAACCGGGGAGGGUCAUUGGAAACUGGGAAACUUGAGUGCAGAAGAGGAGAGUGGAAUUCCACGUGUAGCGGUGAAAUGCGUAGAGAUGUGGAGGAACACCAGUUGCGAAGGCGACUCUCUGGUCUGUAACUGACGCUGAGGAGCGAAAGCGUGGGGAGCGAACAGGAUUAGAUACCCCGUGUAGUCCCUGUCUCUUAUAC